CACUGGUCGAGUGAUCCUGCGCCGAAGAUGUCCGGGGCUAAGACUAACUACCGAAGCUACGGCAUCAGUAAUGAUGGGUAGGGGAGCUUCCCAUACGGGUUGAAGCAUGACCGUAAGGACAUGUGGACAGUAUGGGAGUGAGAAUGUUGGCAUGAGUAGCGAGAUGUGGGUGAGAAUCCCACAGGCCGUAAACCCAAGGUUUCCAGGGGAAGGUUCGUCCGCCCUGGGUUAGUCGGGACCUAAGCUGAGGCCGAAAGGCGUAGGUGAUGGACAACAGGUUGAUAUUCCUGUACUACCGAUAACCGUUUGAGAGAAGGGAUGACACAGUAGGAUAAGCUAAGCACACUGUUGGUUAUGUGUGCCCAAGCAUUGAGGCAGUCAAAGUAGG
RNAcentral lists this ribosomal RNA (388 nucleotides) under Clostridioides difficile. Its description in RNAcentral is "partial 23S ribosomal RNA". It matches the Rfam family "Bacterial large subunit ribosomal RNA", at positions 1143 to 1536 of the family's 2925-position model. Lineage: Bacteria; Bacillati; Bacillota; Clostridia; Peptostreptococcales; Peptostreptococcaceae. The record is from RNAcentral.